UACGUAGGGUGCGAGCGUUGUCCGGAAUUACUGGGCGUAAAGCGCACGUAGGCGGAUAUUUAAGUGAGGGGUGAAAUCCCAGGGCUCAACCCUGGAACUGCCUCUCAUACUGGGUAUCUCGAGUUCGAGAGAGGUGAGUGGAAUUGCGAGUGUAGAGGUGAAAUUCGUAGAUAUUCGGAAGAACACCAGUGGCGAAGGCGGCUCACUGGACUGGUAUUGACGCUGAGGUGCGAAAGCGUGGGGAGCAAACAGG
Molecule: ribosomal RNA, 253 nt
Filed under: uncultured bacterium
Lineage: Bacteria
Description: partial 16S ribosomal RNA
Rfam family: Bacterial small subunit ribosomal RNA
Source: RNAcentral